This 468-nucleotide ribosomal RNA is filed under the name uncultured bacterium. RNAcentral's name for it is "partial 16S ribosomal RNA". It matches the Rfam family "Bacterial small subunit ribosomal RNA", at positions 28 to 507 of the family's 1533-position model. The record is from RNAcentral.
GACGAACGCUGGCGGCGUGCUUAACACAUGCAAGUCGAACGGAAAGGCCCUGCUUUUGUGGGGUGCUCGAGUGGCGAACGGGUGAGUAACACGUGAGUAACCUGCCCUUGACUUUGGGAUAACUUCAGGAAACUGGGGCUAAUACCGGAUAGGAGCUCCUGCUGCAUGGUGGGGGUUGGAAAGUUUCGGCGGUUGGGGAUGGACUCGCGGCUUAUCAGCUUGUUGGUGGGGUAGUGGCUUACCAAGGCUUUGACGGGUAGCCGGCCUGAGAGGGUGACCGGCCACAUUGGGACUGAGAUACGGCCCAGACUCCUACGGGAGGCAGCAGUGGAGAAUAUUGCGCAAUGGGCGGAAGCCUGAUGCAGCAACGCCGCGUGCGGGAUGACGGCCUUCGGGUUGUAAACCGCUCUCGCCUGUGACGAAGCGUUAGUGACGGUAAUGGGUAAAGAAGCACCGGCUAACUACGUG